UACGUAGGGUGCGAGCGUUGUCCGGAAUUACUGGGCGUAAAGAGUUCGUAGGCGGUUUGUCGCGUCGUUCGUGAAAACUUGGGGCUUAACUCCAAGCGUGCGGGCGAUACGGGCAGACUUGAGUACUACAGGGGAGACUGGAAUUCCUGGUGUAGCGGUGAAAUGCGCAGAUAUCAGGAGGAACACCGGUGGCGAAGGCGGUUCUCUGGGCAUUACCUGACGCUGAGGAGCGAAAGUGUGGGGAGCGAACAGG
RNAcentral lists this ribosomal RNA (253 nucleotides) under uncultured bacterium. Its description in RNAcentral is "partial 16S ribosomal RNA". It matches the Rfam family "Bacterial small subunit ribosomal RNA", at positions 524 to 776 of the family's 1533-position model. The record is from RNAcentral.